RNAcentral lists this ribosomal RNA (1494 nucleotides) under Triticum aestivum (bread wheat). Its description in RNAcentral is "partial small subunit ribosomal RNA". The record is from RNAcentral. Lineage: Eukaryota; Viridiplantae; Streptophyta; Magnoliopsida; Poales; Poaceae.
AUGACACAUUUUGGCUUUCAUCCGCAGUGGGUCUCCAUGAUCAUGAGAUGUGUCACCUCGGCGCGGUUUUCUGUUAAAUUGAAUGUUGCACUGUCCAGGAGUUUUUUACCUUCUCGGGGCCUAAGACAGGGAGACCCCUUAUCUCCAUAUUUGUUUCUCUUCUGUGUUGAAGGGUUCUUAGCGCUGCUCAAGAAAGCCCAGAAUGAUAAAAAGCUAGCGGGAGUGAAGUUUGGGAGCACUGGCCCCCAUAUAACUCACCUUCUUUUUGCAGAUGACAGUAUUGUCUUUCUGGAAGGGACGAGGGAGAACAUGGAGAUGCUAAAACAGAUUCUUGUGAAGUAUGAAAAAGCGUCCGGCCAAAAGGUAAAUUUGCAGAAGUCCUCUAUCUUUUUUGGAAAGGGCAGCCAAGAUGUAAUGAAGGAGCAAAUGAAGCAAAUAGUGGGCAUUCAGUCUGAAGCUUUGAGUGAACGAUACUUGGGACUACCAACACUGGUUGGUAGGUCCAAGGAGGGGACGUUCAAACACGUCACGGAGUGCGCUAAAGGGAAAGUGUGCGGAUGGAAGGGCCAAGGUUUAUCCAAAGCAGCAAGGGAAGUUCUUGUUAAAUCUGUGUUGCAAGCGACGCCGACCUAUACCAUGAGUUGUUUUCACCUCUCAAAGAAGAUGUGCCGGAACCUGACUUCAAUCUCGUCUAAAUUCUGGUGGGGUGCAAUGAAUGGUGAGAGAAAGGUCCAUUGGAUCGCUGGGCAAAAGAUGUGUGCGAGCAAGAGGGCUGGAGGCAUGGGCUUUCGUGACCCGGAGGCUUUCAACCGAGCGUUGUUAGCGAAACAAGCAUGGCGAAUUCUUCAAGUUCCUAACUCUCUUUGUGCCAGAGUGCUUAAAGCUCGAUAUUUUAAGGAUGAGUCAAUAUUGUCAGCAUCCUGCCCGGCUUCUGGGUCUUUCACCUUUCGGAGUAUAUUGCAUGGCCGAGAUUUGCUAAGGGAGGGGUUGAUCUGGAGAAUAGGGUCGGGCACAAAUAUCAACAUCCACCAUGAUGCAUGGAUCCCUCGCAAUGGGAGCACAAAACCUCUCGGUCAGGUGUAUAUCCAGGGUAUAACCAAAGUGUCUCACUUGAUGAACCCUGAUGGUAGAUCCUGGAAUGAGGAGUUGGUCGAUCAGAUGUUUAUCGUUGCUGACGCUAUCGAUGUGAAACAGAUUGCCAUUGGUGGCCUGGCGAUGGACGAUCUUCUUGCAUGGAAUUUUACACGGGAUGGUGUCUUCACAGUGAGGUCAGCGUACCACUUUCGGAUGUCUCUAAACAGGGCACGAUCCGGACAGCCGGAGCCUUCUAGUUCAGCGGCUAUGCACAAAGGAUACCUGUCGUUAUGGGAUACAAAUGCGCCGGGUAAGGUCAAGAUUCAUAUGUGGCGCAUGAUUCACAACGGUCUUGCGGUGGGAGCUGAACUUCACCGUCGUCGGAUUAAGCCAGGAGUUUUUUGUGUUGUGUGCGCCCGG